UCUAUUAAAAUCCUCUUUCCCCUUUCAAAUUCUUCCAUCCACAUGCAUGUAAAUGUAAUGUUGAGUCGACCAAGUCCUCCAAGGCUUUUACAUUACAAAUAAGUACUCCACUGCAGACAGUAGGGGGCAGCAGAGCGCUGCCUGCUGCCGGUUGGGGACUGUUUUGAUGACGUAGCUGUUGUCGUCUUGCCGUUCCGGCAAGAUCGUCGAGAUCCUCCUGUUUUACAGGUCAGUACGGUGUAUAAAAGCACAAAACAGAUGAAUAAGCAUAGCAAUCGUUAUCUCUUGUGUUUACGUUGUUUUUAGUAUGAACUAUGCAGUUUGUUCAUAGGUUUCUUACACUGUGCUAGACGUUAGCUAGCACUCCCGAUCCUCGGUCAAUGUCCACCAUUAACGUUUACGGCUGCUGGGCGCUGGUUUCACAUAUGAAGUAUUUUAUUUGUAUUUUGUUUACAAAAAAAUGUCACUAUCUUGCCAGGAUCGUUUAUUAAAUUGAGGACAGUGAACGGUUCUGUCAGUAAGAACUAUGAGAGAUUUAUCCCUGUUAAUAUAAAAGGUUUAAAUUCCCUUUUCAUAUAUUUAAUUAUUAUACUUUUUUGUUAAUAUUUCGAAGGUUUACAUUCACUGUAGGCUACGAGAGUUUUAAAUUCCCUUUUAAUGAGGAAAAUGAUGAAUUGAUGUGUGUGCUAGAUACAUUUUAUUCACUUUAUGUAAUUUGGUUACUUAGUUGAAUAUUACUGAGUGAUGUGCAAAAAGAGACUUCAUGUAAUGACUAAAAUUACUGUAUUUAUUAAAUGAACUCUGGGAAGACCGUCUAGACCAAUGGCAGCAAGUUUCCUCAGCCUCAUCAUUUCUGCUGUUUUACAGGUUUAUUACCUUUCCACAUGCCCUGUGCCUGGGGCCUGUAAGACAUAUAAGCUGGCUUGCCAACCGGCAAUAAAAGAAUAGCAGAAACAACAGCAAAAAGCUUUCGCCGUGGAAGAUACCGUUGCUAAGGAGAAGGAAUUGAGGAGGACUCUUCAACCGAUGAGGCUCGUCUUGGAAGACGGGGAAAUCCAGAGACCUGGAACGUGAAGGUCCAGAAAAGUAGGAGAAUGAGGCGCCUGGAUUGAAGGAGGCAAGACAAAUGGGUACACCAUGCCAGUCUGCAACCUGCUAAAGGUUCACUAAACUCUACUGCAGAAAAGCAGAAGACACAUCAUAAGAACAAGAUUUCUAAGUAUUUCUGGGGGAAUUUGGACUGGAGAAAUGAUUGUGAAGUCUGUGGUGGAGGGGAGCACUGUAAAGCGGCGGCGGACAGGAGCAGAUGAAUCCAGAAGGUCAGCAUCCAUUAUUUGUCACCCUGUAGUAGAUUGGAGAAGAAUCUGAAUGUGCCAACGCUUGUUCCUGUCAACAUUAGGCAUAAAGCAGUGGUGUUUUUUGAAGUGGGAGCCCUCUUGAAAACAGCCUCUGUCAAUGUAAGUUUUGUCAAACAACUCCAAUUCCAGGCCAUACCGUGUGAGGUACGUAUCUUCAAGGACUUCUGCCAGAUGGGGAACUGGGAAAAAGCUGGGGAUCCAACAUUGCAUGACCUCCAAACAAUCAGAUACAACGUGGAUGGCACCACUCAGAUGACUGGGAAGCCUAUCUGUCCCCAUCUCUUAAAAGAAGAGUAUCACCACAGCAGCCCCACUGUGCGCAUCCAGCCAGCCAGUUAAAGAGCUGAAGUUCAAACAGCCCCAAGAACUGAAGGUUUUCAGGAUUAGAAGGAGCUUUAUUGUCAAGUAGUGUUUUACACAUACGAGGAAUUUGCUGUGGUGAUAAGGUGCUACAUGUAGACAAACAUACAGUCAACAUAAAUAAAUGUGGAAAUAUAUAAAUAUGGAAUAAGAUAAGUUUUUGUAGCAACUUGUAUAGUGUAGUGUUUUGGGGUAACAUAAAUAUUAUCGCAGGAGUCCGGAAGGAUAGCUUUGGAUAAAUAAAUAAAAGCCAGGGAAUAAAUGA
Micropterus dolomieu (smallmouth bass) is the source of this 1983-nucleotide long non-coding RNA. RefSeq lists it as uncharacterized. The record is from RefSeq and is a predicted model, not a curated record. Lineage: Eukaryota; Metazoa; Chordata; Actinopteri; Centrarchiformes; Centrarchidae. The transcript has 3 exons.